CUGCAACACAAUUACAAUUAAGAAUCCAUCAAACACCUGGAAUAUUACAUCAUAAUAGGGGAAUCAUAAAAAAAAAUAAUAAUGAGGAAAGGUGAGGGAUAGCAUAUAUCUUUUGGGCCUACAGAAACAAAAUGAGUCCUACGACCAUCGCUUCACAACACUAGAGGACCUCAGGCAUAAGCAGAAUGUGAAAAUAUGCUACAUCUGUGAGGACAUCUCAGCAGAAGAAUUAC
Non-coding RNA from Pelobates cultripes (western spadefoot toad), 233 nucleotides. The record is from the annotation of a GenBank genome assembly. NCBI's taxonomy places the organism in Eukaryota, Metazoa, Chordata, Amphibia, Anura, Pelobatidae.